CCUACGGGGGGCAGCAGUGGGGAAUAUUGCACAAUGGGGGAAACCCUGAUGCAGCGACGCCGCGUGAGUGAAGAAGUAAUUCGUUAUGUAAAGCUCUAUCAGCAGGGAAGAAAAUGACGGUACGUGAGUAAGAAGCCACGGCUAACUACGGGCCAGCAGCCGCGGUAAUACGUCGGUGGCAAGGGUUGUCCGGAUUUACUGGGGGUAAAGGGCGUGUAGCCGGGGUGACAAGUCAGAUGUGAAAUUCCGGGGCUCAACCCCGGACCUGCAAUUGCAACUGUUGGUCUUGAGUAUCGGAGAGGCAGGCGGAAUUCCUAGUGUAGCGGUGAAAUGCGUAGAUAUUAGGAGGAACACCAGUGGCGAAGGCGGCCUGCUGGACGACAACUGACGGUGAGGCGCGAAAGCGUGGGGAGCAAACAGGAUUAGAUACCCCUGUAGUC
Molecule: ribosomal RNA, 440 nt
Filed under: uncultured bacterium
Lineage: Bacteria
Description: partial 16S ribosomal RNA
Rfam family: Bacterial small subunit ribosomal RNA
Source: RNAcentral